GCUAUGCAUCCAACGCGUUGGGAGCUCUCCCAUAUGGUCGACCUGCAGGCGGCCGCGAAUUCACUAGUGAUUCGUAUUACCGCGGCUGCUGGCACGUAGUUAGCCGGUGCUUAUUCUUCAGGUACCGUCAUUAGCCAAGGGUAUUAUCCUCAGCCGUUUCUUCCCUGACAAAAGAGCUUUACAACCCGAAGGCCUUCUUCACUCACGCGGCAUUGCUGGAUCAGGCUUGCGCCCAUUGUCCAAAAUUCCCCACUGCUGCCUCCCGUAGGAGUCUGGACCGUGUCUCAGUUCCAGUGUGGCUGGUCGUCCUCUCAGACCAGCUACUGAUCGUCGCCUUGGUAGGCCUUUACCCUACCAACUAGCUAAUCAGAUAUCGGCCGCUCCACAAGCAUGAGGCCCGAAGGUCCCCCACUUUCAUCCGUAGAUCGUAUGCGGUAUUAGCGUAACUUUCGCUACGUUAUCCCCCACUUCUGGGUACGUUCCGAUAUAUUACUCACCCGUUCGCCACUCGCCGCCAGGUUGCCCCGCGCUGCCGUUCGACUUGCAUGUGUAAAGCAUGCCCCCAGCGUUCAAUCUGAGCCAUGAUCAAACUCUAAUCGAAUUCCCGCGGCCGCCAUGGCGCCCGGGAGCAUGCGAC
This 637-nucleotide ribosomal RNA is filed under the name uncultured beta proteobacterium. Its description in RNAcentral is "partial 16S ribosomal RNA". The record is from RNAcentral. Lineage: Bacteria; Pseudomonadati; Pseudomonadota; Betaproteobacteria.